AACCCUUUGAUUUUGGGGGUUAGAAAAUGCUUGGGAUUUUUUAAUACAUGCUAGUAAAAAACAUACAGGUGAGUAAAUUUGUAAUUAUUUACAAAAAGUUACCAGGAUAGAUCGAUAUAAUAUUUUGAUUUUCCUAUGACAACGAGGUUAGCCCACAUUUUUACUGAAACAAAGAACUACAAAUAGCAGCAGUAUAGAAUAUUGUACAAUUAACUAUAGUUAGAUACAGAAAACACCACAAAAAUUGUCCUAUCAGGUGCCAGCAGACGCGGUUAUACCUGAGAUUUGAGUUUUUCUAAUAAAAAUGGCACAAAGAAUGUUAAGAGAAAUUUAUAAAAAAGAAGUAGAAGCUUUACGAAAAGAUAAAAUAUUUCGAUGUAUAACUGAAUAUCUCUACCAAAAUAACUUCUUAUUAAUUUUGAAACAUUAAAUGAUGGAAAGUAAAUAGGAUUAGAUACCCUAGUAACCCAUCACCUAAAUAAAAANUNGUUCUUUAGAAAAGAAACCUUCGCCUGAGUAUUAUAAUCUACUGAUUGAAAUUCAAAAAAUCUGACUGUUCGUACACCACUUAGAGGAUUGUGUAGUUUAAUGCGAUAAUCCGCGAAUCACCUUACCUUAAUUAGAAAUACAAGUGCUGCAUGGCCGUCUUCAGUUUGUAUAUAAAAUUAACAGACUAAACUUUAUAAAAAAUGAAGUCAGGUUUUAUGGCCUUUAUAUUGAGGGAUUUAUGCAAUACAUUAUUUAUAACAAAAACAAAUAAAAUUUCGGAUAAAAUUUGAAAUAUUUAUUGAAGUUGAAUUUAAUAGUAAUUAGAAUUAAGAAGAAUCUAAUGAAUUGGUUAAAACGUUAGUACAAAUCGCCCGUCACCUUUAAUAAUUAAAGAAUUUAAUUGACAAUUUAAUAUUACUUUAAAAAUUAAAGCAAGUCGUAACAUAGUGAGGGGAAGGGAACUUCUCCUUGAAAA
Molecule: ribosomal RNA, 964 nt
Filed under: Cyanea capillata
Lineage: Eukaryota; Metazoa; Cnidaria; Scyphozoa; Semaeostomeae; Cyaneidae
Description: small subunit ribosomal RNA
Rfam family: Bacterial small subunit ribosomal RNA
Source: RNAcentral